CGGGUGAGUAAUGUCUGGGAAACUGCCUGAUGGAGGGGGAUAACUACUGGAAACGGUAGCUAAUACCGCAUAACGUCGCAAGACCAAAGAGGGGGGACCUUCGGGCCUCUUGCCAUCAGAUGUGCCCAGAUGGGAUUAGCUAGUAGGUGGGGUAACGGCUCACCUAGGCGACGAUCCCUAGCUGGUCUGAGAGGAUGACCAGCCACACUGGAACUGAGACACGGCCAGACUCCUACGGGAGGCAGCAUG
This 249-nucleotide ribosomal RNA is filed under the name uncultured bacterium. RNAcentral describes it as "partial 16S ribosomal RNA". It matches the Rfam family "Bacterial small subunit ribosomal RNA", at positions 103 to 353 of the family's 1533-position model. The record is from RNAcentral.